RNAcentral lists this microRNA precursor (93 nucleotides) under Canis lupus familiaris (dog). RNAcentral describes it as "mir-8799 microRNA precursor family". It matches the Rfam family "mir-8799 microRNA precursor family". Lineage: Eukaryota; Metazoa; Chordata; Mammalia; Carnivora; Canidae. The record is from Rfam by way of RNAcentral.
AGGGAGCACCGGAUCCUGGGCUGUGUCCCCCGGCGCCCUGGGCUCCGGGGCCUGCACCGCUGAAAUCACGCUCCUGGGGCCCCGCAGCCCCCU